UACGUAGGUGGCAAGCGUUGUCCGGAUUUAUUGGGUUUAAAGGGAGCGUAGGUGGGUCUGUAAGUCCGUGGUGAAAUCUCCGAGCUUAACUUGGAAACUGCCAUGGAUACUAUAGGUCUUGAAUAUUGUGGAGGUCAGCGGAAUAUGUCAUGUAGUGGUGAAAUGCUUAGAGAUGACAUAGAACACCAAUUGCGAAGGCAGCUGGCUACGCAUAUAUUGACACUGAGGCUCGAAAGCGUGGGGAUCAAACAGG
RNAcentral lists this ribosomal RNA (253 nucleotides) under uncultured bacterium. RNAcentral's name for it is "partial 16S ribosomal RNA". It matches the Rfam family "Bacterial small subunit ribosomal RNA", at positions 524 to 776 of the family's 1533-position model. The record is from RNAcentral.